RNAcentral lists this small RNA (76 nucleotides) under Arabidopsis thaliana (thale cress). RNAcentral describes it as "ATSL018070". Lineage: Eukaryota; Viridiplantae; Streptophyta; Magnoliopsida; Brassicales; Brassicaceae. The record is from RNAcentral.
AUUUUGAUGAAAUUGCGGACAAUUGUCUUGCCCUCAGUUGUUAUAAUACUCUCCGGAUGAAAUUGGACUCCCUGUG